This 468-nucleotide ribosomal RNA is filed under the name uncultured bacterium. RNAcentral's name for it is "partial 16S ribosomal RNA". It matches the Rfam family "Bacterial small subunit ribosomal RNA", at positions 28 to 507 of the family's 1533-position model. The record is from RNAcentral.
GACGAACGCUGGCGGCGUGCUUAACACAUGCAAGUCGAACGGAAAGGCCCUGCUUUUGUGGGGUGCUCGAGUGGCGAACGGGUGAGUAACACGUGAGUAACCUGCCCUUGACUUUGGGAUAACUUCAGGAAACUGGGGCUAAUACCGGAUAGGAGCUCCUGCUGCAUGGUGGGGGUUGGAAAGUUUCGGCGGUUGGGGAUGGACUCGCGGCUUAUCAGCUUGUUGGUGGGGUAGUGGCUUACCAAGGCUUUGACGGGUAGCCGGCCUGAGAGGGUGACCGGCCACAAUGGGCCUGAGAUACGGCCCAGACUCCUACGGGAGGCAGCAGUGGGGAAUCUUGCACAAUGGGCGGAAGCCUGAUGCAGCAACGCCGCGUGCGGGAUGACGGCCUUCGGGUUGUAAACCGCUUUCGCCUGUGACGAAGCGUGAGUGACGGUAAUGGGUAAAGAAGCACCGGCUAACUACGUG